GAUGAAGAACGUAGCGAAAUGCGAUAAGUAAUGUGAAUUGCAGAAUUCAGUGAAUCAUCGAAUCUUUGAACGCACAUUGGGCCCGCCAGUAUUCUGGCGGGCAGGCCUGUCUGAGCGUCAUUUCAACCCUCAUGCCCCUAGGGCGUGGUGUUGGGGAUCGGCCAAAGCCCGCGAGGGACGGCCGGCCCCUAAAUCUAGUGGCGGACCCGUCGUGGCCUCCUCUGCGAAGUAGUGAUAUUCCGCAUCGGAGAGCGAUGAGCCCCUGCCGUUAAACCCCCAACUUUCCAAGGUUGACCUCAGAUCAGGUAGGAAUACCCGCUGAACUUAAGCAUAUCAAUAAGCGGAGGA
RNAcentral lists this unclassified non-coding RNA (348 nucleotides) under soil metagenome. Its description in RNAcentral is "partial contains 5.8S ribosomal RNA, internal transcribed spacer 2, and large subunit ribosomal RNA". The stretch from base 1 to 120 matches the Rfam family "5.8S ribosomal RNA", at positions 35 to 154 of the family's 154-position model. The record is from RNAcentral.